GUGAGGAAUAUUGGUCAAUGGGCGAGAGCCUGAACCAGCCAAGUCGCGUGAAGGAAGAAGGAUCUAUGGUUCGUAAACUUCUUUUGCAGGGGAAUAAAGUGCAGGACGUGUCCUGUUUUGUAUGUACCCUGAGAAUAAGGAUCGGCUAACUCCGUGCCAGCAGCCGCGGUAAUACGGAGGAUCCGAGCGUUCUCCGGAUUUAUUGGGUUUAAAGGGUGCGUAGGUGGUUUGAUAAGUCAGCGGUGAAAGUUUGCAGCUUGACUGUAAAAAUGCCGUUGAAACUGUCGGACUUGAGUGUAAAUGAGGUAGGCGGAAUGCGUGGUGUAGCGGUGAAAUGCAUAGAUAUCACGCAGAACUCCGAUUGCGAAGGCAGCUUACUAAGCUACAACUGACUCUGAAGCACGAAAGCGUGGGGAUCAAACAGGAUUAGAUACCCGGGUAGUCC
RNAcentral lists this ribosomal RNA (445 nucleotides) under uncultured bacterium. RNAcentral's name for it is "partial 16S ribosomal RNA". It matches the Rfam family "Bacterial small subunit ribosomal RNA", at positions 354 to 796 of the family's 1533-position model. The record is from RNAcentral.